AUUGAACGCUGGCGGCAGGCUUAACACAUGCAAGUCGAGCGGGGGAAGGUAGCUUGCUACCGGACCUAGCGGCGGACGGGUGAGUAAUGCUUAGGAAUCUGCCUAUUAGUGGGGGACAACAUCUCGAAAGGGAUGCUAAUACCGCAUACGUCCUACGGGAGAAAGCAGGGGAUCUUCGGACCUUGCGCUAAUAGAUGAGCCUAAGUCGGAUUAGCUAGUUGGUGGGGUAAAGGCCUACCAAGGCGACGAUCUGUAGCGGGUCUGAGAGGAUGGUCCGCCACACGGGGACUGAGACACGGCCCAGAAUCCUACGGGAGGCAGUAGUGAGUAAUAUUGGACAAUGGGGGGAACCCUGAUCCAGCCAUGCCGCGUGUGUGAAGAAGUCCUUAUGGUUGUAAAGCACUUUAAGCGAGGAGGAGGCUACUCUAGUUAAUACCUAGGGAUAGUGGACGUUACUCGCAGAAUAAGCACCGGCUAACUCUGUGCCAGCCGCCGCGGUAA
RNAcentral lists this ribosomal RNA (501 nucleotides) under uncultured bacterium. RNAcentral describes it as "partial 16S ribosomal RNA". It matches the Rfam family "Bacterial small subunit ribosomal RNA", at positions 30 to 523 of the family's 1533-position model. The record is from RNAcentral.